Molecule: transfer RNA, 90 nt
Filed under: Planctomycetota bacterium
Lineage: Bacteria; Pseudomonadati; Planctomycetota
Description: tRNA-Ser
Rfam family: tRNA
About the family: Transfer RNA (tRNA) molecules are approximately 80 nucleotides in length. Their secondary structure includes four short double-helical elements and three loops (D, anti-codon, and T loops).
Source: RNAcentral
GGAGGGAUGGCUGAGUGGUUGAAAGCGCUGGUCUUGAAAACCAGUGGGCGUGCAAGCGUCCCCAGGGUUCGAAUCCCUGUCCCUCCGCCA